RNAcentral lists this ribosomal RNA (339 nucleotides) under uncultured bacterium. RNAcentral's name for it is "bacterial SSU rRNA". It matches the Rfam family "Bacterial small subunit ribosomal RNA", at positions 89 to 431 of the family's 1533-position model. The record is from RNAcentral.
GACCUAGCGGCGGANGGGUGAGUAAUGCUUAGGAAUCUGCCUAUUAGUGGGGGACAACAUUCCGAAAGGAANGCUAAUACCGCAUACGCCCUACGGGGGAAAGCAGGGGAUCUUCGGACCUUGCGCUAAUAGAUGAGCCUAAGUCGGAUUAGCUAGUUGGUGGGGUAAAGGCCUACCAAGGCGACGAUCUGUAGCGGGUCUGAGAGGAUGAUCCGCCACACUGGGACUGAGACACGGCCCAGACUCCUACGGGAGGCAGCAGUGGGGAAUAUUGGACAAUGGGCGGAAGCCUGAUCCAGCCAUGCCGCGUGUGUGAAGAAGGCCUUUUGGUUGUAAAGC